RNAcentral lists this ribosomal RNA (253 nucleotides) under uncultured bacterium. RNAcentral's name for it is "partial 16S ribosomal RNA". It matches the Rfam family "Bacterial small subunit ribosomal RNA", at positions 524 to 776 of the family's 1533-position model. The record is from RNAcentral.
UACGGAGGGGGUUAGCGUUGUUCGGAAUUACUGGGCGUAAAGCGUGCGUAGGCGGAUUAUUAAGUCAGAUGAGAAAUCCCGGGGCUCAACCUCGGAACUGCCUUUAAUACUGCUAGUCUUGAGUUCGAGAGAGGUGAGUGGAAUUCCGAGUGUAGAGGUGAAAUUCGUAGAUAUUCGGAGGAACACCAGUGGCGAAGGCGGCUCACUGGCUCGAUACUGACGCUGAGGUGCGAAAGUGUGGGGAGCAAACAGG